Molecule: ribosomal RNA, 534 nt
Rfam family: Bacterial large subunit ribosomal RNA
AGUUUAUUGUUUUUUAUAAUAAAUUUUUUCUGCCCCAUGCUUAAUUAAGUAAAUGGCCGCGGUAUCUUGACCGUGCAAAGGUAGCAUAAUCAUUUGCCUUUUAAUUGAAGGCUGGAAUGAAAGAAAGUUUGAGACUUUAGCUGUCUCUUUUUUAUUUUUAGAAUUUGCUGUUUUUGUGAAGAAGCAAAGUUUUUAGAAAAAGACAAGAAGACCCUUUUAAGCUUUACCUUUUUCUUUUUCUUCCUUCUUUUUAGUAUUUUUAGUAAAAGAAAAAGGUUUGGUUGGGGUGAUUAAAGAAGACUAAAUCUUCUUUAGUUUUUUUUGGCUUAGGGCCGAAUUUUGACCCGGUAUUUCCGGUCGAAAGAAUUAGUUACUAAAGGGAUAACAGCGUAAUUUUUUCAGAGAGUUCUUAUUGAAGAAAAAGAUUGCGACCUCGAUGUUGACUUGCUUUCUCCUUUUAAGGUGCAGAAGUUGAAAGGGUUGGUCUGUUCGACCAUUAAAAUAGCACGUGAGUUGAGUUCAGACCGGCGUGAG